This 336-nucleotide unclassified non-coding RNA is filed under the name soil metagenome. Its description in RNAcentral is "partial contains 5.8S ribosomal RNA, internal transcribed spacer 2, and large subunit ribosomal RNA". The stretch from base 1 to 120 matches the Rfam family "5.8S ribosomal RNA", at positions 35 to 154 of the family's 154-position model. The record is from RNAcentral.
GAUGAAGAACGUAGCGAAAUGCGAUAAGUAGUGUGAAUUGCAGAAUUCAGUGAGUCAUCGAAUCUUUGAACGCACAUUGCGCCCCUUGGUAUUCCGGGGGGCAUGCCUGUUCGAGCGUCAUUUCAACCCUCAAGCUCUGCUUGGUAUUGGGCUCCGUCCUCCUCGGACGCGCCUCAAAGACCUCGGCGGUGGCGUCUUGCCUCAAGCGUAGUAGAAACACCUCGCUUUGGAGUGCAUGGCGUCGCCCGCCGGACGAAACCUUUUGUAUUUUCUCAAGGUUGACCUCGGAUCAGGUAGGGAUACCCGCUGAACUUAAGCAUAUCAAUAAGCGGAGGA